RNAcentral lists this ribosomal RNA (497 nucleotides) under uncultured bacterium. RNAcentral's name for it is "partial 16S ribosomal RNA". It matches the Rfam family "Bacterial small subunit ribosomal RNA", at positions 28 to 507 of the family's 1533-position model. The record is from RNAcentral.
GAUGAACGCUGGCGGCGUGCCUAAUACAUGCCAGUCGAGCGAACAGACGAGGAGCUUGCUCCUCUGACGUUAGCGGCGGACGGGUGAGUAACACGUGGAUAACCUACCUAUAAGACUGGGAUAACUUCGGGAAACCGGAGCUAAUACCGGAUAAUAUAUUGAACCGCAUGGGUCAAUAGUGAAAGACGGUUUUGCUGUCACUUAUAGAUGGAUCCGCGCCGCAUUAGCUAGUUGGUAAGGUAACGGCUUACCAAGGCAACGAUGCGUAGCCGACCGGAGAGGGUGAUCGGCCACACUGGAACUGAGACACGGUCCAGACUCCUACGGGAGGCAGCAGUAGGGAAUCUUCCGCAAUGGGCGAAAGCCUGACGGAGCAACGCCGCGUGAGUGAUGAAGGUCUUCGGAUCGUAAAACUCUGUUAUUAGUGAAGAACAAAUGUGUAAGUAACUAUGCACGUCUUGACGGUACCUAAUCAGAAAGCCACGGCUAACUACGUG